This is a small nucleolar RNA of Cavia aperea (Brazilian guinea pig), 120 nucleotides long. The record is from Ensembl. NCBI's taxonomy places the organism in Eukaryota, Metazoa, Chordata, Mammalia, Rodentia, Caviidae.
AAGCAACACUGUGACAUAUUAGCAAAAUAGUCUGCCAUAAUUUAAGCUUACUAGAGCAAGAAAGUCCAAUCUAUCCCAGCACUCUCCCCUCUGUGAGACAGUUACACAGACUUAAACAGU